GAUGAACGCUGGCGGCGUGCCUAAUACAUGCAAGUCGAGCGAACAGACGAGGAGCUUGCUCCUCUGACGUUAGCGGCGGACGGGUGAGUAACACGUGGAUAACCUACCUAUAAGACUGGGAUAACUUCGGGAAACCGGAGCUAAUACCGGAUAAUAUAUUGAACCGCAUGGUUCAAUAGUGAAAGACGGUUUUGCUGUCACUUAUAGAUGGAUCCGCGCCGCAUUAGCUAGUUGGUAAGGUAACGGCUUACCAAGGGGACGAUGCGUAGCCGACCUGAGAGGGUGAUCGGCCACACUGGAACGGAGACGGGGUCCAGAGUCCUACGGGAGGCAGCAGUAGGGAAUGGUCCGCAAUGGGCGAAAGCCUGACGGAGCGACGCCGCGUGAGUGAUGAAGGUCUUCGGAUCGUAAAACUCUGUUAUGAGGGAAGAACAAAUGUGGAAGUAACUAUGCACGUCUUGACGGUACCGAAUCAGAAAGCCACGGCUAACUACGUG
RNAcentral lists this ribosomal RNA (497 nucleotides) under uncultured bacterium. RNAcentral describes it as "partial 16S ribosomal RNA". It matches the Rfam family "Bacterial small subunit ribosomal RNA", at positions 28 to 507 of the family's 1533-position model. The record is from RNAcentral.